AGCCUAUUUUCCAAACAUUACAUAUGUAACUUGAGCUCAAGAGUUGGUCGCCAAAGAAAGGUCUGCAUAGCAUUGGUACCCCUUCACAAAUGCUCUCAAUGGUUGAAUUCCACCCACAGUGGCUCCAAAAUCCACCCACUGCAGCAUGAGCCAACACUUCCUUUUGAGGUGCCCAUUUCACAAUGCAACCUCUUUCUCCCACACUCUCCUCAAACCCAUUUGGCAAAGAUUCAAUCCAUUCUGAGCCAGAAACCAUACCAGGUCUAACCACCCACAGGAAGGGUUGUUUACUGUUGGAUAAUCCCCAAGCUGUCUCAAUUAGUUCUUGCUUAUCAAUGUUGGCAAUGCUACCAAAGCUCACAUAGAUGACAGAUUUGGGGGCUUGUUUGUUAAGCCAAUAGAUGCAUUUAUCAUCUUCAGUCAAUAAUGAGCAGCAAAUGGCUGGAGCUAAUUUGUGUAAUGGUCCUACAGUGAAAAUUGGAGUAGGAAAGUAUUGUCUUACCUUUGACAGUGCUUCUAGUUCCAAAAAUUCCAUUGAGUUCACAAUUAUAGCUGAUGAGAACUUAAUCGCAUUUGUGAAUGCAGCUCUCACCUCCAUCAUCGCUUGAGUCGGAUUCUGUACUAUUAAUGCUCGUAAGCGUUGAAGCUGAAGAGCUUGAAGCUCGGGUGAUUCAAUUCCAGACAUUAAUUCUGCAACACAAAUUUAACCCAGACCAAAAUUACGUAUGAUCAUCAUGUAUACAACAUGUUGCAACCAAAUAUUAAAGUGUUAUGUAUACCUUUCUCACCAAGUUGAGGAAGUACCGAAAAUAAUAGCAUUGUUGUAGCCGAACUUGUACGCAAAGUUAUCCCGGGUAUCCCCAGUUCGUUGACUAUAGUUUGAGCACAAAACAUGAGUGUAUCAUAGAUGACUGCAGCAAUAUGGUGAUGAGAGUGCAAAAUGUUUUCGAGGCAUUUUUGUAAUGGUGCUGCACAGUUUUUGUGGAGACUCUGCAAGGAACCUGCAACAUCUACAUUUGAGACUAGAGAUUCCUUGAGCUUAUCUGCAAGGUCUUCAUCUGAGAGUUGAGAUUCCUUGAUCUUAUCUGGUAUGGAUACGAAGGUGAAUUGGGGUGGUUUGAAGGGUUAAGAGAAUUCAAUUCAGGGUGAACUAUAGUGAUUGAGAAGCCCUUUGAGUGCAAGAUAGUAGCUAGCUGGAGCAUGGGAGUUAAGUGGCCUUGGAAGGGUGCCAUAACAAGCACCAAAUGACCGGAUUUCUGUUGUUCCUCCAUUUUUGUUCUCUCUUUCUCUGGACUUACUGGUGGAGGACUCGAAGGCUAAUGGAGUCAAUAAAUAAAAAGAGAUUAGAUAUUAAAAAAUGAAUUUUUCCUUUGCUUCUUGAAAAGGUGUCAAUCACAACACCAAAUACCCUUAAUUUUUCAAAAAAAAAAGGCUGCUUUAGUCUUUGUUUGGGUGGAAAAUAAACUGGAUAAUGUCAAAAUCAAUCAAACAUCGGAAAUUUACGAAAAUAUUUUUUUAUAAUCUUUUCAUUUUUGAGACCAAAAUUUUAUUUUAAUAUAAGAUUUAUAUUUUAAUUUUUUUAUGCAUGCUUUAUUAUCUUCAUCUGUUGUAUAUAUUAAUAAUAUUAUUAAUUGAGUUUACUGUUCACGGGUCGGGCUGGAUAGCCGGCCGAUAGGUUGAAGGAUUUAGUUCCAAACCAAUUGUGGUGCAAUUAGAAUUGUUGAUAUGAUGUAUUAACGUGUUUAAAUUUUAUUUUAUUCACAAUUUAAUUUAUUUUUAUUUUAAUGUUGUACAUAUUUCAUAGGUUUUUGUUAAUUAGUUCUAAACCAAUCAUUUCAUUAAUUAUUGUAUAUUAUUUUGAAACUAACAUUUAUGUUCUAAGUACUUUGUUUUCGCACGUAUACGCAUAUGAUAGAAUUUUUCAUGAAUAAUAAUUUUUAUUUAAAUUUAAUUAUAAAAUAUAUACAAAAUUAUAUUUAAAUAAUAGAAUGAAUGAUCAAGUUGUUUUAAAUUAAACAACAACCAAUAUCUAAGUUUUGAUCUAAUUCAUUAACAAAGUAUUGUGCAUGCAAUUUUACAAAAAAUUACUGAGAAGAUAAAACAAUCAUUGAAAAAUUGUGUUACUUGUACUUUUUAUUUUAUUUAAAUUACCCAUGAUUUUAAGUUCAACAUAUUUUUAGACAUAAUCGAGAUAUGAUCUUAUAAAUAUAUAUAUUAAAAAACUUAACAUACACUCAUUAGGUCUAUAUUGAGUUCACAUACAAAUCCGGACAACAUAGAUGUAACAUACAAUUACUAAACUAGACCAAACCAAAACAAAUGUUUAUAGUUUCCACCGUGAAAGAGAAUGAUGCCUACUCAGUUUUCCAAGCAUAUAAAACAUAACAAAACUUUGGAAUAUUUAUGUUGCAAUCAUCAUCACUGUUGAUGAUAGAGUUUGAAUCCGGUUCACCUGGUAUGAAAAUAAAUAAUCCAUGGCUUGAACUGGAUUUAUUAUAUAACCAGUCAUGUACAUCCCAGAAAAUUUGUAUAGGUGUUUUGUUAACUGUGACUAUUUCAUUUCCUCUGAACCUCCAAUGAAGGUUCAUAACUCGAAUGAUGGUGGUACCGUCUAUGGUAACCCACAUUUCGGGAUCAUCGGGAUCGGAUAGACAGUUCUCGAUUAUAAUGUCGUGUUCUUGUAUCCCUUCACCAAGUUUGGUCUUGGAACAAAAGAGUCUUUUCCCACAAAUAUGCUCUUGCUUGCACAACAAGUUAGGGUCUAUCAAGGAAAGUUUUUUCUUGGUUCUUUUUAAAGCAUCUUUUUUCAUGUCACCUAUAACUAAUACCACUUUUUCAUCACACACCAUUGCUACAUAAUAGUCUGAGCAAGGCUCGGGGCUAGCAUUGAACUUCGUUUCUCGAAAAUCCCAAUAAAUAUCGACCCUUUCGCCAUCUAUUUCGAUGUUUUUCAGACCUUUUUUUCCCCAAAAUUGCCAUCCAUUUAAAUCAAUCUUGCAGGUAUUAUGGUUUUGAUCAUCACAAGGACUUUCUACACUUAUAGCAAACGAAUGGCUAACCGGGCUUUUGCACCAUGUAGCCGUUACUUUGCGGUACAAGUCCCCAAUAUUGGCACCGUAGAUAGAGGUGACUGAACAUUGUGCAGCAUUAUCCGUUGUUACCUGAUUCUCCUUCUGUUUCCCCGUUGAUGGCGGUGGCCUUGGAACAUUAGGUAAUGCAGCUCCCUCGAGAUUUUUUAACAUUGUUGAGGCCCUCGGCACAACGGUGUUUCAAACUUGCAGCUGUUAGCAAAUGCUCUGGCUAUAUUGAAUACUGAUCCAUCAUAACGAUGGUUGAAGUAUCGUGUAGAGCUCGCUAGCCAGACUUUAAAAAAAAACUUAACAACCUGUUCAUUUAGAUAAAAGUUUUCAAAUAAUUUAAUAACUAUUUUAUAAUUUUUUAAAGUUGAUUAACCAAAGUAUAAAUUUAUUAAUAAUUUAAUGACUUUAGAUAUAGUUUUUUUUCUCUCAUAACAACAUAAAAAUAUUUUUAUUUUAAGGUUUAUAUCACGAUUUGUUUUUAAUUAUUUCAAGUUCUUUCAGGUUUUGCUUUUACAAUCUCAUCAUGAGAUUGUGUCAACUUUUUCCAAAAGCGACAUCUUAUGAGACAAAAAGUCUAGGAACACAUAUGUAAGACAUUUAAAGCUUUUUUGACCUAUCUUGUCACGGGCUAGCAUUAGGUCCUCUUUUGCAUAACUUACAUGAAUAUAGUUUAAUUUAUCUUCAUCUCUUUACAGUUCACCUAAAAGUUAUUAUGCCUCUCUAAUGGCAAAUCAUAAUGGUAUUUGCGUCAUAAACGUACCAAGUGUUGGAAAAUGUAGACAUCACAUAUAUAAUAAUAGUAAUUAUAAGUUAUUGUUUAGUAUCAUAAAAGAUCAGCUCAAAUUAAAAAUAAUUUAAUUUGGUUAAUGUUUAUCAGGCUUUAGUUAUUAAAUAAAGUAUGAGCCAAAUAUGUAUAGAUACAUUAAUAACUAAUUUAUAAUUGAUGAUGGGAUGAUUUGAUGUAAUAAAGUACGCUUCUACAUCUAAUUUUGUUCUUGAUGAUUUGACAUAGAUCCUGAUUAAUAAAGUUAUAUAUUAAAUUAUUGAGAACCAACUUAUUGUGGAAGAAAAGAAAGUAGGGAGAAUCCAACCUGCCAAUUUUCGUGGGAAAUUCAUUGGGUAUUUGUUUGUGGGGUAAUUGCAAAAUAGAACUACAAGGAUGUUUAAUUUCAUGUCUCUUUGAUGAAGUUGGCCAGCAUGCUGCCACACCAGCCAACAUGCAGACCAUGAAGAUCGAGCAAGGCAGAAGCUACUGCAGCAAGCUUAAAUUGAUCUAGUUUUGUUCAUUUUGUAAUGUUUAGUUAAUGAAAUGUAUCUUAGUUCAUUUUCAACUAUGUUAGGUUGAUGAUUGAUGUAAUUUGCUGAUUGAUGAGCUGUUUAUUCAGCUUUGCUUGUAUGUACAAGUUAAUUACUUCAAGUUUCAAUGCUUAGUGGUGCUAGGUAACCAUUAGGUAAACAUUUUGCUAAUUUUGACAAGCUUAGUGCUUGGUUUAUGUAUUGGCAUUAUGCCAUUGCUCAUUUUUAUGAAUGAAAUCAGAAUUUUUUCAUCAAUAAUCUCUUCAUUUUCUUGUUUUUCUUCCUUAUUUUUACUUGAAACAAGUUGUUUGCUCAGCAAGUAUCGAGGCUUGUUGCACAAGACACAAGCUGAGCUUGUCUGCUUCUGUUCUAAACCCAACAAUUGGUAUCUAGAACUGUAUUCUUAGAAGACCUGUUGUAGUUCAAAUACCAGAAACCUAUGGUCUCAUCAAGUUUUUCACCAGCUGUACCACAGGUCUUCAAUGGAGAAGGCUAUCAUAUAUGGGUGGUCAAAAUGAAGACCUACCUGCAGGCUUUCGAUCUAUAGGAGGUGAUCAAUUUAGAUAUUGAACUAGAGCCACUUAGAGCCAAUCCAAUAGUGGCUCAGAUCAAGCAACAUGCUGAUGAGAGGACCAAGAGGCACAAGGCCAUGUCUUGCAUCCAGAACUUAGUGUCAGAUGUGAUUUUCACAAGGAUUAUGGCCUGUGAAACACCAAAGCAGGCCUGAGACAAGUUGCAAGAGGAGUUUCAAGGGACAGAGAGGACAAGGCAGCAAAAAUUGUUGAACUUGAGGAGAGACUUUGAGAAUUUGAAGAUGAAGGAAGAAAAAACUGUCAAGCAGUAUUUUGACAGGAUUAUGGCUGUGGUAAACAGCAUAAAGCUCCUUGGUGAGCAGUUCAGUGAAGCAAAGAUAAUGGAGAAUGUGAUUUCAACCUUACCAGAGAGGUAUGAGGCAAAAAUCUCAUCUCUCGAAGACUCAAGGGAUCUGACCAGUAUUCCCUUAACAAAGCUCAUUAAUGCUCUAUAUGCACCAGAGCAGAGAAGAGCUAGCAAGGCAGCAACAAUUGUUGAACUUGAGGAGAGACUUUGAGAAUUUGAAGAUGAAGGAAGAAGAAACUGUCAAGCAGUAUUUUGACAGGAUUAUGGCUGUGGUAAACAACAUAAAGCUCCUUGGUGAGCAGUUCAGUGAAGCAAAGAUAGUGGAGAAGGUGAUUUCAACCUUACCAGAGAGGUAUGAGGCAAAAAUCUCAUCUCUCGAAGACUCAAGGGAUCUGACCAGCAUUCCCUUAACAGAGUUCAUUAAUGCUCUAUAUGCAUAAGAGCAGAGAAGAGCUAGCAGACUGGAGAAGCACCAAGAAGGUGCCUUUCAGGCAAAGACCAAUACUGCCUACAAAGGCAAGAAAACCUGGAAAAACAGGCCUAAGCCUGAUACUGCAAGAAGCAGUGACCAACCUUACAGAUAUUUCAAAAGGAUUGGUCAUCCAGAAGAAAAAUGCUGGUUUAGACCAGAUGCCUUGUGUCAACAUUGCAAGAAGAAGGGACAUGUUGAAAGGGUCUGCAAAAGCAAGGGCAAACCAAGGCAAAAUCAAUCUCAACAGAUGAAAGUUGAGGCUCGAGUAGCCAAGGAAGACAGUGACCAAGAGGAGCAAGUCUUUGCUGUGUCAUGCUCAUUUGCUCAGGAAAGGCUCUCAAAUGGUUGGCUCCUAGACAGUGGAUGCACCAAUCACAUGACACCAGAUGCUGCAAUCUUCAAGUCAUUGGACAGAAGCUGCAGAACCAAAGUGAAAAUUGGUAAUGGCCACUUUAUAAAAGCAGAAGGCAAGGGUGAUGUGCUAAUAAGCACUCCCACAGGUGCCAAAGUGAUUUCAAAUGUGCUCUUGGUGCCUGAGAUUGACAGAAACCUGUUUAGCAUAGCUCAAUUGCUAGAGAAAGGCUACUCUGUAAUGUUCAAGGACAAGCCAUGCCAGAUCAGUGAUCCAAGUGAAUCCAAGCUCAUGGCAGUCACUAUGGCUGACAAGAGCUUUGUGAUUGAUUGGACAAAGGACUCAGACACUGCCUAUACAGCCAUAGCAGAUGAAUCCAAGCUUUGGCAUCAAGGACUUGGACAUGCCAAUUAUAAAUCAAUGGACCAAUUAAGCAGAAAUGGUUUGGCUGAACAUUUCAUCAGCUUAGUUCAAAACCAGGAGGUUUGUGAAGUAUGUCAGCUAGGGAAGCAGGCCAGACUUCUAUUUCCCUCGAAUCAGGCCUGGAGAGCCUCUGAAAAACUACAACUGGUGCACACUGAUGUGUGUGGCCCCAUGAAGACUGAGUCACUAAGUGGAAACAAGUAUUUCACACUGUUUAUUGAUGAUUUUUCAAGAUUUUGCUGGAUUUACUUUUUGAAACAAAAAUCAGAGGUGGCCUUUGUGCUUUGGAAGUUUAAAGCUACUGCUGAGACUGAAACAGGCUGCAAGUUGAAGAUCUUAAGGUCAGAUAAUGGGACUGGGUAUACUUCAGCUCAGUUCCAAGCCUUUUGUGAUAAGGCAGGCAUUAAACAUCAACUAACCAACACUUAUACACCCCAGAAAAAUGGUGUAAGUGAGAGAAAUAACAUGAGCUUGUUGGAUAUGGCUAGGUGCUUGAUGAUUCAGAAGAAUCUGCCCAAGACUCUGUGGGCUGAGGCAGUUAACACUGCAGCCUACAUUCAAAAUAGACUUCCAACCAAGGCUUUGGCACUGAAGACACCAUUCGAGGCUUGGUUUGGAUUCAAGCCAUCACUGGCUCAUCUAAAGGUUUUUGGAUGCAUUUGUUAUGCACAUGUACCUGCUAUUAAAAGGGACAAGCUGUCUGAAAGGGCUCUACCUGGUGUUUUGGUGGGCUACAACACAGUCAAGAAGGGUUAUAGGAUCUUAGAUCCUUUAGCAAACAAAGUGUCAGUGAGCAGGGAUGUUGUGUUUGAUGAGAGACUAUGCUGGAACUGGGAAAGGAAUCAACCUGAGCCAGUUUCUGAAGAUCUGGCUACUGAUCAAGCUAAAACAGACCAAAAUGGUCUUAAAAUAGACAUUGAUGAUGAACCAGUCAGGGGUACUAGACCAUUGGCUGAGAUUUAUGAAAGGGAUCAUGUUGUUACAGCUGAACCAAGUAGUUUUGAAGAGGCUGAAGCUCAGCAAGAGUGGAAGCAAGCAAUGGCUGAGGAGAUCAGCAUGAUUGAAAAGAACCAGACUUGGGAAUUGGUUGAAAGACCAGUCAAAAGGAAGGUUAUUGGAGUAAAAUGGGUGUAUAAAGCCAAGCAAAAUGCUGAUGGAAGCUUGAACAAGUUGAAAGCAAGGCUAGUUGUCAAGGGGUUCAGCCAGAAAUAUAGCCUAGACUAGUUGGAGACCUUUGCACUAGUGGCCAGGCUUGACACCAUUAGGCUACUGAUUGCUUUAGCAGUACAAAAGCAGUGGAAGAUUCACCAGCUUGAUGUGAAGUCAGCUUUUCUCAAUGGAUUUCUUGAGGAAGAUAUCUAUGUUGAACAACCACAGGGGUUUGAGAUAGCUGGAAAUGAGCACAUGGUGUACAAGCUAAAAAAUGCCUUGUAUGGGUUAAAAUAGGCUCCAAGGGCCUGGUACAGCAGGAUAGAUGGCUACUUGGUUGAUUUGGGAUUCGACAGGAGCAAGAGUGAGUCAACAUUGUAUGUUAAGAAGGAAGGAACACAAACACAGCUCGUUGUGUCUUUGUAUGUUGAUGACCUGCUGGUGACAGGAGGAGAUCAAGCUAUGUUGGUCGAUUUCAAGACUAAGAUGCAUGACAAGUUUGAAAUGUCUGAUUUAGGAAGAAUGUCCUAUUUUCUUGGAAUGGAGGUGUGCCAAACACAGAAUGGGAUAUUUCUGAGUCAGAAAAGUUUUGCCUUAAAGAUUUUAACCAAGUUCUCCAUGCAAAACAGCAAAGCAACAAGGACUCCUGUUGCUGUUGGAGAAAAACUAUCGAGCCAAGGUGAUUUUGAGAAGGUUUGUGAAACAACCUACAGAAGUCUAGUUGGUUGUUUGUUGUAUUUAACAGCUACCAAACCUAAUAUCUUGCAUGCUAUGAGCUUGCUCUCAAGAUUCUUACAUUGCAGUAAUGAAAAGCAUUUUCAAGCUGUAAAGAGAGUGCUGAGAUAUGUUAAAGGCACUGUGAAUUAUGGCUUAAUGUAUAACAAGGCUGAAAACUUGAAGCUAAUCGGCUACACAGACAGUGACUGGGGUGGCUCGAUUGAUGACAUGAAAAGCACUUCAGGGUAUGCAUUCAAUCUUAGUUCAGCUAUGUUUAGUUAGAGUUCAAAGAAACAAACUGUGGUGGCUCAGUCCACUGCUGAAGCAAAGUAUGUGGGAACAACAAGUGCUGUCAACCAAGCCAUUUGGCUAAGAAAGAUCAUGGCUGACUUAAAUGUGCAUCAAAGGGAAGCAACAGAGAUCUUUUGUGACAAUCAAUCUGCUGUUGCAAUUGCAAAGAAUCCAGUGUUCCAUGGAAGAACUAAGCAUUUCAGCAUUAAAUUGCAUGUAGUUAGAGAAAUGGAACAAGCACAGGAGUUGAAACUGAUUCAUUGCAAUUCAGAGGAUCAGCUUGCUGACAUCUUUGCUAAAGCCCUUAAUGCAACUAGAUUUGAGCAUUUAAGGGAGAAACUAGGAGUUUGCAGCAUGCUCUCCAAGGAGGAGUGAUGAAGUUGGCCAGCAUGCUGCCAUACCAGCCAACAUGCAGACCAUGAGGAUCGAGCAAGGCAGAAGCUACCGCAGCAAGCUCAAAUUGAUCUAGUUUUGUUCAUUUUGUAAUGUUUAGUUAAUGAAAUGUAUCUUAGUUCAUUUUCAACUAUGUUAGGUUGAUGAUUGAUGUAAUUUGCUGAUUGAUGAGCUGUUUAUUCAGCUUUGCUUGUAUGUACAAGUUAAUUACUUCAAGUUUCAAUGCUUAGUGGUGUUAGGUAACCAUUAGGUAAACAUUUUGCUGAUUUUGACAAGCUUAGUGCUUGGUUUAUGUAUUGGCAUUAUGCCAUUGCUCAUUUCUAUGAAUGAAAUCAGAAUUUGUUCAUCAAUACUCUCUUCAUUUUCUUGUUUUUCUUCCUUAUUUUUACUUGAAACAAGUUGUUUGCUCAGCAAGUAUCAAGGCUUGCUGCACAAGACACAAGCUGAGCUUGUUCUUCUGUUCUAAACCCAACACUCUUAAACUGAUAUCUGCUUUAUUAACCCAUUGAAAGAACAAGUUGUAGAACCGUCUUCCAUAAGACAAAGAGCAGCUUUCUUCUUCAAAUCCAUAGCUCUCUUUCUGAUAUCCUUUCCUUCCAUUUCCACCAUUAGUCGUUUUAUUGUUCUUACUGUAUUCCCUCUUUCUAGAUUCUGCAAUUCCAAGCCUAUUUUCCAAACAUUACAUAUGUAACUUGUGUUCAAGAGUUGGUCGCCAAAGAAAGGUCUACAUAGCAUUGGUACCCCUUCACAAAUGCUCUCAAUGGUUGAAUUCCACCCACAGUGGCUCCAAAAUCCACCCACUGCAGCAUGAGCCAACACUUCCUUUUGAGGUGCCCAUUUCACAAUGCAACCUCUUUCUCCCACACUCUCCUCAAACCAAUUUGGCAAAGAUUCAAUCCAUUCAGAGCCACAAACCAUACCAGGUCUAACCACCCACAGGAAGGGUUGUUUACUGUUGGAUAAUCCCCAAGCUGUCUCAAUUAGUUCUUGCUUAUCAAUGUUGGCAAUACUACCAAAGCUCACAUAGAUGACAGAUUUGGGGGCUUGUUUGUUAAGCCAAGAGAUGCAUUUAUCAUCUUCAGUCAAUAAUGAGCCGCAAAUGGCUGGAGCUAAUUUGUGUAAUGGUCCUACAGUGAAAAUUGGAGUAGGAAAGUAUUGU
RNAcentral lists this long non-coding RNA (10211 nucleotides) under Gossypium barbadense (sea-island cotton). RNAcentral describes it as "long non-coding RNA (GBAR_LNC016792)". The record is from RNAcentral. Lineage: Eukaryota; Viridiplantae; Streptophyta; Magnoliopsida; Malvales; Malvaceae.